Molecule: ribosomal RNA, 329 nt
Filed under: uncultured eukaryote
Lineage: Eukaryota
Description: partial 18S ribosomal RNA
Rfam family: Eukaryotic small subunit ribosomal RNA
Source: RNAcentral
CCCUUAGAUGUUCUGGGCCGCACGCGCGCUACACUAACGAUGGCAACGAGUUUUUCCUUCGCCGAAAGGUGUGGGUAAUCUUUUGAAACAUCGUCGUGCUGGGGAUAGAUCAUUGCAAUUUUUGAUCUUGAACGAGGAAUUCCUAGUAAGCGCGAGUCAUCAGCUCGCGUUGAUUACGUCCCUGCCCUUUGUACACACCGCCCGUCGCUACUACCGAUUGAAUGGUUUAGUGAGGACUCCUGAUUGGCGCCGCCGCCCCGGCAACGGAGCAGCGGACUGCCGAAAAGUUGUUCAAACUUGAUCAUUUAGAGGAAGUAAAAGUCGUAACA